This 253-nucleotide ribosomal RNA is filed under the name uncultured bacterium. Its description in RNAcentral is "partial 16S ribosomal RNA". It matches the Rfam family "Bacterial small subunit ribosomal RNA", at positions 524 to 776 of the family's 1533-position model. The record is from RNAcentral.
GACGGAGGGUGCAAGCGUUGUUCGGAUUUACUGGGCGUAAAGGGCGUGUAGGCGGUUGGUCAAGUCUGAUGUGAAAGCCCGGGGCUCAGCUCCGGAAGGGCAUCGGAAACUAACCAGCUGGAGCGCGAUAGAGGAGGGCGGAAUUCCUGGUGUAGCGGUGAAAUGCGUAGAUAUCAGGAGGAACACCGGCGGCGAAGGCGGCCCUCUGGAUCGUUGCUGACGCUGAGACGCGAAAGCGUGGGGAGCAAACAGG